GGGGAUGUAGCUUAGUAGUAUGGCACUUGCCUAGUAUGCAUGGGGCCCUGGGUUCCGUCCCCAGUAUCACUG
This 72-nucleotide transfer RNA is filed under the name Marmota monax (woodchuck). It matches the Rfam family "tRNA". Rfam says of the family: Transfer RNA (tRNA) molecules are approximately 80 nucleotides in length. Their secondary structure includes four short double-helical elements and three loops (D, anti-codon, and T loops). Lineage: Eukaryota; Metazoa; Chordata; Mammalia; Rodentia; Sciuridae. The record is from Rfam by way of RNAcentral.